This is a long non-coding RNA of Juglans microcarpa x Juglans regia, 426 nucleotides long. RefSeq lists it as uncharacterized. Lineage: Eukaryota; Viridiplantae; Streptophyta; Magnoliopsida; Fagales; Juglandaceae. The transcript has 2 exons. The record is from RefSeq and is a predicted model, not a curated record.
CUCUCUCUCAAAUUUCUCUACAUCGCUGCCGCUAGGGGUGCCGUCCACCACCACCCACACCUCGACACCGUUGCUAGUCCUCCGUCGAAGCCUCCUUCUCCUCCACUUAAGGUCAAGCGAUACAAACACGCCCUGGAGGUUGUUGAGAUCACAAAGGGAAGUAAGGUAAAAUAUGAGCUUGACAAGAAGACAGGACUAAUUAAGGUAUUGACUAUUUCAUCCUCUUAAAUGGAAGAUUUUAGUGCUAGUUUGAAAAGUAUAUUCUUUCGGCGUUACGUUGAAGCAUACUUAACUAGAAAAGGUUGGUUCAAAAUGCUUCUAGUCCAAACACUUUUUUGGGUGUUUCUGCUGAAUGAGGACAGUAAGAUCUUUGGAAGGGUUUUUGAGUUAUACUUCUAUUUUGGGAGAAUCUUAGUUCUUGCAUUU